UACGUAGGGUGCAAGCGUUGUCCGGAAUUAUUGGGCGUAAAGAGCUCGUAGGCGGUUUGUCGCGUCCGCUGUGAAAAUCCAGGGCUUAACCCUGGACCUGCAGUGGGUACGGGCAGACUAGAGUGCGGUAGGGGAGAUCGGAAUUCCUGGUGUAGCGGUGAAAUGCGCAGAUAUCAGGAGGAACACCGGUGGCGAAGGCGGGUCUCUGGGCAACAACUGACGCUGAGGAGCGAAAGUGUGGGGAGCGAACAGG
Molecule: ribosomal RNA, 253 nt
Filed under: uncultured bacterium
Lineage: Bacteria
Description: partial 16S ribosomal RNA
Rfam family: Bacterial small subunit ribosomal RNA
Source: RNAcentral